This is a long non-coding RNA of Apodemus sylvaticus (European woodmouse), 949 nucleotides long. RefSeq lists it as uncharacterized. Lineage: Eukaryota; Metazoa; Chordata; Mammalia; Rodentia; Muridae. The transcript has 3 exons. The record is from RefSeq and is a predicted model, not a curated record.
UGUGUGUGUGUAGGGGGAGAAAAAGAAAAGAGAACAAUUCAUCUUUAUUCUUAUUCAUGUGAAGAGAAAAAUCUAAGAAGAUACGAACUAAAAAGCCAAUGAGAACCUGACACAGAGAGGUUCCACGACUUGUCCCAGGCCCCCAGGUCUUCUGUCGCUAGCCGCCACUAGUCCUACAACGAGUGUCUAAUCCCACUUUGUGGGGUCCACUGUAGGCCCACAUAGCAGCCUAUGAACCCCAAGGUACAAAGGAGCUCUGGGUCUAACUGUGGUCAUCUCAUCGAUACUGCAACGUGCAUUUCAGCAUCUCCAGGAUUAUGGUGCUGGAUCACCAACGCAGGCAGAAGCUAAAUUCUACCAGGCUUUGGCCCUCUUGGUGGUACAAAGAAUGGGUGACUCUUAAAGGCCUCAGACACUGCCGUAUGUAGAAACCAAGCAGCAGCAGCAGCAGCCUUCACCACAGCCUCUCCCAAAGCCAUGGGAACUGUCCGUGGUGCUAGCUGAAUGCAGAGGUCAUGAUGCUGGUUGGGCACAAAGGCCUGGGUCUGGCUUCGGGUGGGGCUCACAGGAGGGGCAACUUCAACACUAGGAGACAUACCCACCUCAUCUAGUGCAUUUUAAAAUAACACUUCCUCUCCAUCAGCUCCCCCCAGAAGAACCAUGUUUCAGGGGCUGGAAAAACAGCUCAGUGGGGAAGGGCUACAAGAGGGCCUGAGUCUGGAUCCCAAGCACUCAUGAAAAAGAUAUGGGUAUGGUCGCAAGCAUCCGUAACCAUGAGGAUGUGGAAAGCAGGAACAGGACGGUCACUGUGGCUUGCUGGCUACCAGCCUGGACCCUGGCUCAAUUCAGUGACAGAGAGCAGGACAUCUGACGUCUUCCUUUGACCUCCAUAAGACAAUGGCAUGAACACUUGUAUUCUGUACACACACACACACACACACACACACAC